CCUACGGGAGGCUGCAGUGGGGAAUAUUGGACAAUGGGCGAAAGCCUGAUCCAGCCAUGCCGCGUGUGUGAAGAAGGCCUUCGGGUUGUAAAGCACUUUCAGUGGGGAAGAAAGCCUUGGGGCCAAUACCCUCGAGGAAGGACAUCACCCACAGAAGAAGCACCGGCUAACUCCGUGCCAGCAGCCGCGGUAAUACGGAGGGUGCGAGCGUUAAUCGGAAUUACUGGGCGUAAAGCGCGCGUAGGCGGUCUGAUAAGCCGGUUGUGAAAGCCCCGGGCUCAACCUGGGAACGGCAUCCGGAACUGUCAGGCUAGAGUGCAGGAGAGGAAGGUACAAUUCCCGGUGUAGCGGUGAAAUGCGUAGAGAUCGGGAGGAAUACCAGUGGCGAAGGCGGCCUUCUGGACUGACACUGACGCUGAGGUGCGAAAGCGUGGGUAGCAAACAGGAUUAGAUACCCUGUAGUC
This 464-nucleotide ribosomal RNA is filed under the name Vreelandella stevensii. RNAcentral's name for it is "partial 16S ribosomal RNA". It matches the Rfam family "Bacterial small subunit ribosomal RNA", at positions 338 to 795 of the family's 1533-position model. The record is from RNAcentral. Lineage: Bacteria; Pseudomonadati; Pseudomonadota; Gammaproteobacteria; Oceanospirillales; Halomonadaceae.